RNAcentral lists this ribosomal RNA (539 nucleotides) under uncultured bacterium. Its description in RNAcentral is "bacterial SSU rRNA". It matches the Rfam family "Bacterial small subunit ribosomal RNA", at positions 355 to 895 of the family's 1533-position model. The record is from RNAcentral.
UGAGGAAUAUUGGUCAAUGGGCGAGAGCCUGAACCAGCCAAGUAGCGUGCAGGAUGACGGCCCUAUGGGUUGUAAACUGCUUUUGUAUGGGGAUAAAGUCAAUCACGUGUGAUUGUUUGCAGGUACCAUACGAAUAAGGACCGGCUAAUUCCGUGCCAGCAGCCGCGGUAAUACGGAAGGUCCGGGCGUUAUCCGGAUUUAUUGGGUUUAAAGGGAGCGUAGGCUGGAGAUUAAGUGUGUUGUGAAAUGUAGACGCUCAACGUCUGACUUGCAGCGCAUACUGGUUUCCUUGAGUACGCACAACGUUGGCGGAAUUCGUCGUGUAGCGGUGAAAUGCUUAGAUAUGACGAAGAACUCCGAUUGCGAAGGCAGCUGACGGGAGCGCAACUGACGCUGAAGCUCGAAGGUGCGGGUAUCGAACAGGAUUAGAUACCCUGGUAGUCCGCACAGUAACGAUGGAUGCCCGCUGUUGGUACCUGGUAUCAGCGGCUAAGCGAAAGCAUUAAGCAUCCCACCUGGGGAGUACGCCCGGCAACGGU